This 253-nucleotide ribosomal RNA is filed under the name uncultured bacterium. RNAcentral describes it as "partial 16S ribosomal RNA". It matches the Rfam family "Bacterial small subunit ribosomal RNA", at positions 524 to 776 of the family's 1533-position model. The record is from RNAcentral.
UACGAAGGGAGCUAGCGUUGUUCGGAAUUACUGGGCGUAAAGCGCACGUAGGCGGACUUGUCAGUCAGGGGUGAAAUCCCAAGGCUCAACCUUGGAACUGCCUCCGAUACAGCAAGUCUUGAGAUCGGGAGAGGUGAGUGGAAUUCCUAGUGUAGAGGUGAAAUUCGUAGAUAUUAGGAAGAACACCAGUGGCGAAGGCGGCUCACUGGCCCGAUACUGACGCUGAGGUGCGAAAGCGUGGGGAGCAAACAGG